UCUCUCUGUCUGGUGAAUGGGAACGAAAUAACGCAUCCAGCAUCAAGUUCCUAACGUCGCUCAGCAGAAACAAACGCGAACGGACGGAGGUGUGAGACGGAAAGGAUAUUGUCCGGAAUGUUUAUGGGGAAAAUAAGAUACCUAAGCAUUGCAGCAAGGCCCCGGCAAUGGAGGAACAGCAAGAAGGCAGAAGAAAAUGAAGGUACCCAAUGAAAGCACAGGGACGAAGGCAUCUCCCCUCAUGGAUGCUGCUCGACCCACUGAGUUCCUGCAGCAGAUUGUUUGUUGCUCCAGAUUCCAGCAUCUGCAGUCUCUUGUGUUUCGAGAAGAUGAAGGUGCUGUCUGCAUGUUACAAAAUCAGACUUCAAGAUGAUAAGAAGGCACUUUGAGGAUACAAGGGCAAACAUUCAACUUGGUGAGGCUCUAUCAGCCCAUAAACUAGCUUCUGCUGCACACAGAGGUGACCUGGUCCAUACACUGUGAAGAAAUUAACACUGGCUCCCACCACCCAUACAACCGUACUCUAAUAAAGAGAGAGAAGAACAAAGAACCUGCAUUUAUAUAGUGCCUUCCACAAGUCAGGUUUAAACAGCACUUGCAUGUGUACUUGAAGAGCUGUGAUCUAAGGACUACGGACGUGGUGCUGGUAGGUGUGAUUAAGCUGGGUAUCUUUCUUUCUCGACCAAGCACAGAUACAAUGUGCUCCAAAGUCAAAUUCGAGUUUACUGUCAAUGCACAAGUACAAGUAUGCACAAGUGCAAUGAAAAAUUUAC
Pristis pectinata (smalltooth sawfish) is the source of this 773-nucleotide long non-coding RNA. RefSeq lists it as uncharacterized. The record is from RefSeq and is a predicted model, not a curated record. The transcript is spliced from 3 exons. NCBI's taxonomy places the organism in Eukaryota, Metazoa, Chordata, Chondrichthyes, Rhinopristiformes, Pristidae.